GCCAGACUCCUACGGGAGGCAGCAGUGGGGAAUAUUGCACAAUGGGGGGAACCCUGAUGCAGCGACGCCGCGUGGGUGAAGGAGCACCUCGGUGCGUAAAGCCCUAUCGGCAGGGAAGAAACAGACGGUACCUGACUAAGAAGCCCCGGCUAACUACGUGCCAGCAGCCGCGGUAAUACGUAUGGAGCAAGCGUUAUCCGGAAUUACUGGGUGUAAAGGGAGCGUAGGCGGCAAGGCAAGUCUGAUGUGAAAACCCAGGGCCCAACCCUGGGACUGCAUUGGAAACUGUAUUGCUUGAGUGCCGGAGAGGCAGGCGGAAUUCCUAGUGUAGCGGUGAAAUGCGUAGAUAUUAGGAGGAACACCAGUGGCGAAGGCGGCCUGCUGGACGGUAACUGACGCUGAGGCUCGAAAGCGUGGGGAGCAAACAGGAUUAGAUACCCGCGUA
Molecule: ribosomal RNA, 445 nt
Filed under: uncultured bacterium
Lineage: Bacteria
Description: bacterial SSU rRNA
Rfam family: Bacterial small subunit ribosomal RNA
Source: RNAcentral